Molecule: long non-coding RNA, 1101 nt
Filed under: Trifolium pratense (red clover)
Lineage: Eukaryota; Viridiplantae; Streptophyta; Magnoliopsida; Fabales; Fabaceae
Description: long non-coding RNA (TPRA_LNC012770)
Source: RNAcentral
AGGGUUCUCGGCACAGAGCAUACCUGUUACAUAAUAAUAUUGUCUGAAAGAUCUGUCAACAGUCACCACAGCAAUUUUUUAGACUGCAUACCAGAGAGGCCACCUGUAUUCGGUUACUAAAUCCAAGACUUGCAUUUAUAAUUAUCAACACAAAUCUAGUGCUAUCUGAUUCUUAUUCAUCUACCUGCAUUCAAAAACAUUGACACAUACAAACUUGUUACGCUUUCCUCCAUAGAUUACAAUACAAGCAUCCUCAUAUGACAUAGAUGGUCAGCUUAAUGCCAUAUAUACCAGAUAAUUCUAUGUACUUUGCUUCAGUUGAUUCGUUUCUUCCUUAGAGAAUUCCUUUGAAACCUUUAUCAAUAGGCUAAUCCAACACAAGCAUGCACUCCAAUUUGCAUUGGCAAAAUCACUUCAUAUUGUAGUUGCAAAAUUGUUUUUAGGGACUAGGGUCAUAAAAGCACAAUAGCUAGUAUUUAUGCCUUAAUGCCUUAUAUUAUGAACAAAAUUUUAUAUUAAAAUUGCAUUUAAGGCAACAACUAGCUUUCACAUUAAGGCAUCAUCCAUCUUGUUUUGGGUUAUCAAGAAAAUCUCUUACAAAAAACAUGGAAAAAGUAUAACCAUCUUGUUAUUGAAUUUGGAGUUAGUGGGCUCAUGUAUACCAUACCACCCUUUAUAGAUAAUGAAGAAAAAAAAUUAUGUCAAUGACAGUACCACAAUUAGGGUCAUAAAAGACAGUAGAGACCAUGCACCAUGUCAAUGACAGUACCACAAUUAGGGUCAUAAAAGACAGUAGAGACCAUGCACCGUCCAACUUCUUUAAAGGCACCAUCCAACUUUUCCUUUAUGAAUAAAGAGUUUGUAAUGCAUUUUACUCCAAGGUCAUUGAGGCAUCCAUCCCAUACAAAGCUUAUGAAACAUUAGAAACUAGGGUCAUUAAGUUCAUAAUACAAACCACUUAUAAAUUAUAAUUGCAGCUGUAAAAUUGAAAUUAGGGACUAAGGGUCAACAAAUCAAAAUAGAUAUCCACUCAUGCAUUAUGAAUCAAAGUUCAUAAUUUAUUUUUGAGAAAAAAGAGGACAUAGAGAUAAUAGCUUGAGU